RNAcentral lists this ribosomal RNA (435 nucleotides) under uncultured bacterium. RNAcentral's name for it is "partial 16S ribosomal RNA". It matches the Rfam family "Bacterial small subunit ribosomal RNA", at positions 28 to 507 of the family's 1533-position model. The record is from RNAcentral.
GAUGAACGCUGGCGGUAUGCUUAACACAUGCAAGUCGAACGGACUCUUCGGAGUUAGUGGCGGACGGGUGAGUAACGCGUGAGAAUCUGGCUUUGGGUUCGGGACAACCACUGGAAACGGUGGCUAAUACCGGAUGUGCCGAGAGGUAAAAGACAAAUUGCCUGAAGAUGAGCUCGCGUCUGAUUAGCUAUUUGGGGAGGUAAAGACCCACAAGGGCAGCGAGAAGUAGCUGGCUUGAAGGGAUGACCAGCCAAACUGGGAAUGCGACACGGCCGAGGCUAAUACGGGAGGAAGGAGGGGGGAAUGUUCCGGAAAGGGCGAAAGCCUGACGGAGCAAUACCGCGUGUGGGAAGAAGGCGCUGGGGUUGAAAACCUCUUUUCUUAGGGAAGAACAAAAUGACGGUACCUAAGGAAUCAGCAUCGGCUAACUCCGUG